UGUCUAAGUACAAGCCGUGUUUACACGGCGAGACCGCGGACGGCUCAUUAAAUCAGUCGUGGUCCAUAUGGGCUAGAGUUAAACCUACUUGGAUAACUGUGGUAAUUCCAGAGCUAAUACAUGCUACUCUUAUCCUGAGGUAGCGCGGCUUUCGGGUCGUAGCGCUGACGGAUGCUUUUAUUAGACCAAACCGCUGGGUGCUUGCGCUUUCCUUCGCGGGAUUGUGCUCGCUCUGACCCGUUUAAUGGUGACUCUGGAUAACCUUUUUGACAAGCGCACGUACUCUUUUAGGGACGGCGCUGCCACUUUCGAGUGUCUGCCUUAUCAGCUAUCAACCGUUCGUUAUGCGCGCACGAUGGCUUUGACGGGUAACGGGGAAUCAGAGUUCGAUUCCGGAGAGGCAGCCUGAGAGACGGCUACCACGUCCAAGGACGGCAGCAGGCACGCAAAUUACCCAAUCCCAGCAUCUGGGGGAGGUAGUGACGAAAUAUAACAAUGCGGGCGCCCUUUUUGGGGCCCCGCAAUUGGAAUGGCCACUUUCUAAACAACCUGUCGAGAACCUACUGAAGGGCAAGUCUGGUGCCAGCAGCCGCGGUAAUUCCAGCUUCAGUAGCAUCUAUUAAAGUUGCUGCGGUUAAAAGGCUCGCAGUUGAAUGUCAGUAUCGGGCGCAGGUCAGGUGGACGCUGGGACGUGAACACUAAAGGCGGCUCAGUGUGCGGCUGUGCGUCUCUGU
Molecule: ribosomal RNA, 734 nt
Filed under: Orchomenella gerulicorbis
Lineage: Eukaryota; Metazoa; Arthropoda; Malacostraca; Amphipoda; Lysianassidae
Description: bacterial SSU rRNA
Rfam family: Eukaryotic small subunit ribosomal RNA
Source: RNAcentral